UUUUGUUGUACAAGCAUUGAUUAUAUAUUUUGCUCCCCAAUCUUAAAACAAAUAACUCAAACUGAUUAAUUGUGGGUCAUGACAUCAGUGUUCACAGGGAAUUAUAUAUGCAUCUCACCACGAUUUCAGGUACCAAUCAUGUUCGUACCUGAACAGUCUUGAACCUGUUUCACCAGAUCCCGAUGUUGCGUAUUUGCUUUUAUAUGUUUUGUUGGCCCAUUAAAAAGCAAAAGCGUUUGAUCCAUGUGCCAUGAAAAAAGCUUGUAAACUUAUCCUUUUUCCCCCUCCCAUGAAAGAUUAUAAAGUUACAAAGGCAAUUGGAAAAUAUUCUUCAAUCAAGUAAAGGAAAACAGAUGGACAGAAUGUUUUCUUGGUGGGUAAUGAGCCAGAACAAAGUGUUGCAUAGCUUUGCUUUUAUUUUUCUUGUGUUUCGUUCCAAAGUCAAUGGGGGCCUCAUCUCCAAUGCCGAGGGGACUUUGGCCACUACUAGUAGCUUAGUAUCAGCCAUUGUUACUUCUCUAUUCCAACUGUCAUUCUGUAGUGUAUGGUGUCUGC
This 555-nucleotide long non-coding RNA is filed under the name Phaseolus vulgaris (common bean). RNAcentral describes it as "long non-coding RNA (PVUL_LNC002347)". The record is from RNAcentral. Lineage: Eukaryota; Viridiplantae; Streptophyta; Magnoliopsida; Fabales; Fabaceae.